This 368-nucleotide ribosomal RNA is filed under the name uncultured organism. Its description in RNAcentral is "bacterial LSU rRNA". It matches the Rfam family "Bacterial large subunit ribosomal RNA", at positions 2099 to 2465 of the family's 2925-position model. The record is from RNAcentral.
CUUUACUGUAACCAAAAAUUGAUUAUUAAUUUUAUCUGCGCAGAAUAGGUGGGAGACUAUGAAAUUAUCUCUUUGGGGAUAAUAGAGUCGUAAUGUGAGAUACCACUCUGAUAAAAUUUAUAAUCUAAAUUUAUUCCGUUAACCGGGUAAAAGACAGUUUUUGGUGGACAGUUUGACUGGGGCGGUCACCUCCUAAAGAGUAACGGAGGUGUACAAAGGUUUUCUCAAAUCGGUCAGAAAUCGAUUGAAGAGUGCAAAAAUAUAAGAAAGCUUAACUGUGAGACAAACAAGUCAAACAGAGACGAAAGUCGGUUUUAGUGAUCUGACGCUGCUGUGUGGAAAGGGCGUCACUCAACGGAUAAAAGUUA